Molecule: ribosomal RNA, 513 nt
Filed under: uncultured bacterium
Lineage: Bacteria
Description: partial 16S ribosomal RNA
Rfam family: Bacterial small subunit ribosomal RNA
Source: RNAcentral
GACGAACGCUGGCGGCGUGCCUAAUACAUGCAAGUAGAACGCUGACUACUUUAGCUUGCUAGAGUAGAAGGAGUUGCGAACGGGUGAGUAACGCGUAGGUAACCUGCCUACUAGCGGGGGAUAACUAUUGGAAACGAUAGCUAAUACCGCAUAACAGUGUUUAACACAUGUUAGAUGCUUGAAAGAUGCAAUUGCAUCACUAGUAGAUGGACCUGCGUUGUAUUAGCUAGUUGGUGGGGUAACGGCCCACCAAGGCGACGAUACAUAGCCGACCUGAGAGGGGGAUCGGCCACACUGGGACUGGGACGCGGCCCAGACUCCUACGGGAGGCAGCAGUAGGGAAUCUUCGGCAAUGGGGGCAACCCUGACCCAGCAACGGCGCGUGAGUGAAGAAGGUUUUCGGAUCGUAAAGCUCUGUUGUAAGGGAAGAACGUGUGUGAGAGUGGAAAGUUCACACAGUGACGGUAACUUACCAGAAAGGGACGGCUAACUACGUGCCAGCCGCCGCUGUAA